Molecule: ribosomal RNA, 204 nt
Filed under: uncultured bacterium
Lineage: Bacteria
Description: partial 16S ribosomal RNA
Rfam family: Bacterial small subunit ribosomal RNA
Source: RNAcentral
CCAUCCCAGUUCGGAUUGCAGGCUGCAACCCGCCUGUAUGAAGUUGGAAUCGCUAGUAAUCGCGGAUCAGCAUGCCGCGGUGAAUACGUUCCCGGGCCUUGUACACACCGCCCGUCACACCAUGAGAGUUGAGAAUACCCGAAGCCCAUGUCAAAGUGGUCGAAGGUAGGCUUGAUGAUUGGGGUGAAGUCGUAACAAGGUACC